Long non-coding RNA from Canis lupus familiaris (dog), 1740 nucleotides. RefSeq lists it as uncharacterized. The transcript is spliced from 6 exons. NCBI's taxonomy places the organism in Eukaryota, Metazoa, Chordata, Mammalia, Carnivora, Canidae. The record is from RefSeq and is a predicted model, not a curated record.
UUACACACUCCUUUGUGUCUAGCUUCUUAUGCUCAAUGUAAUAUUUUUGAGAUUCUGUGUUGUGUAUUAUGGAGGAUGGGCUGGAAGGUAGCCAACAUGACUACUGCUUCCUGUGUUCAUACAUUUAUAUGAUCCCCUCCUCUAAAUAUAGGCAGGACCUGUGACUUUUUCCUAGAAUAUCGCAAAGGAGCAAGCUGCCAUAUCAUACAAGAGUUUAUGAAAAGGGCCAUGUGACAAGAAACUGUGGGCAGCCUCCAGAAUCUGAGGGUGGCCUCAGCUGAUUACCAGCAAAAAGCCUUGGUUUUAAAGCCACAAGGAAAAGAACUCUUCCAAAAACUUGCAUUAACUUGGAAGUGGUUCCAUUGCCAGUCAAGCCUCCAGAUAAGAUCCAAACCCUGGAUGACAUCUUGAUUGCAGUCAUACAGAAGAUAUGGCUAAACUGUGCCCAGACUUCUGACCCUCAGAAACAGUGAGCUAAAACAGCCUGAAAGAAUGUGAUCUCCUGGCUCCGUCUCUGAUGGAACUUUACAAUCAAAACUGAGACCAAUGCAUGAAGACUGACUUCAUGAUAGACUUGAGUCAAGAGAGGGUUCAAAAUGGAAUAGGUCUUACAAUGCCACUCAGCCCAGGACCAUCUUCAUAGAUCCUUGUUCACAGAUUCUUCCAUCUUUCAGCUCUGAUGGAAUCCCUUACAUCUUGGUCAUUACAUCAGUUCCAGGCAAAUUUCCUGACAAACUUCUAUCUACCCUUCAAAACCUAGGAGAAAUGGCAAUGGACAUUCAGCCUCUGUCUGGGAGACAUCAGGGAGUAGUGAGAACUACAGUGAACUACAGAGUCCAUGCCUCAACCAAAGGAAUGCUUCUGUGAUUGAUUCUGGGGAUGAUAAUUGCUUCCUGCUGUUGUUACAUUCUGGAUGCAUCACGUUUCCUUAGCCCCACACACUACUCUCUAUAAAGAAAUGAAGGCUCAGAGAAGUGGAUUCUCAGAUCUGAGCAACACAUUUCUGACGGAGAGCAACACACACAUCCUAUACCCAGGAUGAGCUUACACCACACUCAAUGUCUGGAGAAAUCUCUGAGUCCUGCUGCUUCCUGUAUAGACUCAAGAGUCCACACAUGCCAGUCUGGGGUAGGCUUGACAGGGCCAGAGGCCAUGGAAUGGACGUGGGUACAGUGAGGAAGAGAAUAACAGAGUCUCAGGACAUAAAGACACUUGGAAAUUCACUUGGCAUUGAAUCAGAAAUCACGGUUCAAAUCCAAGUGCUGCCUCUUCCUCUGCCCCAGCUUUAUCGUGGUGUGACUGACCAAUAAAAACUGCAUAUAUUUAAGGUGUAAAACAUGUUUUGAUAUAUGUAUAUGUUACGAAAUGAUUACCACAACCAAGCUAAUAUUCUCCUCACCUGACAUAGUUUACCACUUUCCCUCCUAAGAGCACUUGAAAUCUGCUCACUCAGCAAAUUUCAAGUAUACGUUAUUAUCAACUAGUCACUAUGCUCUACAUUGUCCCCAGAACUUAUUCAUCUUAUAACUGUGUGUACCCUUUAACCAAUGUCUUCCCAUUCCCCAAAAUCUGCCAGCCCCUAAUAACUACUAUUCUAUUAUUUGUUGCUAUUGGGUUUAGCUUUCUCAGAAUCCACAUACAAGUGAAAUCAUGUGUAUUUCCCUGGUGUGUCUGAAUUCACUUAGCAUAAUGUCUUCCAGGUUUAUCUAUGUUGUUGCAAAUGGCAGGUUUCCUAUUUUU